CCUACGGGUGGCAGCAGUGAGGAAUAUUGGUCAAUGGACGCAAGUCUGAACCAGCCAUGCCGCGUGCAGGAAGACGGCUCUAUGAGUUGUAAACCGCUUUUGUACGAGGGUAAAUGCAGAUACGAGUAUCUGAAUGAAAAGAUCGUACGAACACGGAUCGACGAACUCCGUUCCAGCAGCCGCGGUAAUACGGCGGAGUCAAGCGUUAUCCGAAUUUAUUGGGUGUAAAGUGUGCGUAGGCGGUCGGAUAAGUUAGAGGUGAAAGCCCGAGGCUCAACUUCGGAAUUGCAUCUGAUACUGUUCGGCUAGAGAGUAGUUGCGGUAGGCGGAAUGUAUGGUGUAGCGGUGAAAUGCGUAGAGAUCAUACAGAACAC
This 374-nucleotide ribosomal RNA is filed under the name uncultured bacterium. Its description in RNAcentral is "partial 16S ribosomal RNA". It matches the Rfam family "Bacterial small subunit ribosomal RNA", at positions 338 to 709 of the family's 1533-position model. The record is from RNAcentral.